RNAcentral lists this ribosomal RNA (468 nucleotides) under uncultured bacterium. Its description in RNAcentral is "partial 16S ribosomal RNA". It matches the Rfam family "Bacterial small subunit ribosomal RNA", at positions 28 to 507 of the family's 1533-position model. The record is from RNAcentral.
GACGAACGCUGGCGGCGUGCUUAACACAUGCAAGUCGAACGGAAAGGCCCUGCUUUUGUGGGGUGCUCGAGUGGCGAACGGGUGAGUGACACGUGAGUAACCUGCCCUUGACUUUGGGAUAACUUCAGGAAACUGGGGCUAAUACCGGAUAGGAGCUCCUGCUGCAUGGUGGGGGUUGGAAAGUUUCGGCGGUUGGGGAUGGACUCGCGGCUUAUCAGCUUGUUGGUGGGGUAGUGGCUUACCAAGGCUUUGACGGGUAGCCGGCCUGAGAGGGUGACCGGCCACAUUGGGACUGAGAUACGGCCCAGACUCCUACGGGAGGCAGCAGUGGGGAAUAUUGCACAAUGGGCGGAGGCCUGAUGCAGCAACGCCGCGUGCGGGAUGACGGCCUUCGGGUUGUAAACCGCUUUCGCCUGUGACGAAGCGUGAGUGACGGUAAUGGGUAGAGAAGCACCGGCUAACUACGUG